AUUGAACGCUGGCGGCAGGCCUAACACAUGCAAGUCGAGCGGAGCGGCGGACGGGCGAGUAAUGCCUAGGAAUCUGCCUGGUAGUGGGGGCUAACGUCCGGAAACGGGCGCUAAUCCCGCAUACUAUCAGAUGAGCCUAGGUCGGAGUAGCUCGUUGGUGGGGUAAAGGCCUACCAAGGCGACGAACCGUAACUGGUCUGAGAGGAUGAUCAGUGAAACUGGAACUGGGACACGGGCCAGACUCCUACGGGAGGCAGCAGUGGGGAUUAUUGGACAAUGGGCGUAAGCCUGAUCCAGCCAUGCCGCGGGUGGGAAGAAGGUCUUCGGAUUGUAAAGCCCUUUAAGUUGGGAGGCGUUACCAACAGAAUAAGCACCGGCUAACUUCGUGCCAGCAGCCGCGGUAAUUC
This 407-nucleotide ribosomal RNA is filed under the name uncultured bacterium. RNAcentral's name for it is "partial 16S ribosomal RNA". It matches the Rfam family "Bacterial small subunit ribosomal RNA", at positions 30 to 526 of the family's 1533-position model. The record is from RNAcentral.